GGGCCCGCACAAGCGGUGGAGUAUGUGGUUUAAUUCGAUGCAACGCGAAGAACCUUACCAGGGUUUGACAUCCUGCGAAUCUCUUGGAAACUUGAGAGUGCCUUCGGGAGCGCAGUGACAGGUGGUGCAUGGCUGUCGUCAGCUCGUGUCGUGAGAUGUUGGGUUAAGUCCCGCAACGAGCGCAACCCACGUCUUUAGUUGCCAGCAUUUAGUUGGGCACUCUAGAGAAACUGCCUGCGAUGAGCAGGAGGAAGGCGGGGAUGACGUCAAGUCCUCAUGGCCCUUAUGGACUGGGCUACACACGUGCUACAAUGGCGGUGACAAUGGGCAGCGAAGGGGCGACCUGGAG
Molecule: ribosomal RNA, 349 nt
Filed under: uncultured bacterium
Lineage: Bacteria
Description: bacterial SSU rRNA
Rfam family: Bacterial small subunit ribosomal RNA
Source: RNAcentral